This 1343-nucleotide ribosomal RNA is filed under the name uncultured bacterium. Its description in RNAcentral is "16S ribosomal RNA". It matches the Rfam family "Bacterial small subunit ribosomal RNA", at positions 28 to 1378 of the family's 1533-position model. The record is from RNAcentral.
GACGAACGCUGGCGGCGUGCUUAACACAUGCAAGUCGAACGGAAAGGCCCUGCUUUUGUGGGGUGCUCGAGUGGCGAACGGGUGAGUAACACGUGAGUAACCUGCCCUUGACUUUGGGAUAACUUCAGGAAACUGGGGCUAAUACCGGAUAGGAGCUCCUGCUGCAUGGUGGGGGUUGGAAAGUUUCGGCGGUUGGGGAUGGACUCGCGGCUUAUCAGCUUGUUGGUGGGGUAGUGGCUUACCAAGGCUUUGACGGGUAGCCGGCCUGAGAGGGUGUCCGGCCACAUUGGGACUGAGAUACGGCCCAGACUCCUACGGGAGGCAGCAGUGGGGAAUAUUGCACAAUGGGCGGAAGCCUGAUGCAGCAACGCCGCGUGCGGGAUGACGGCCUUCGGGUUGUAAACCGCUUUCGCCUGUGACGAAGCGUGAGUGACGGUAAUGGGUAAAGAAGCACCGGCUAACUACGUGCCAGCAGCCGCGGUGAUACGUAGGGUGCGAGCGUUGUCCGGAUUUAUUGGGCGUAAAGGGCUCGUAGGUGGUUGAUCGCGUCGGAAGUGUAAUCUUGGGGCUUAACCCUGAGCGUGCUUUCGAUACGGGUUGACUUGAGGAAGGUAGGGGAGAAUGGAAUUCCUGGUGGAGCGGUGGAAUGCGCAGAUAUCAGGAGGAACACCAGUGGCGAAGGCGGUUCUCUGGGCCUUUCCUGACGCUGAGGAGCGAAAGCGUGGGGAGCGAACAGGCUUAGAUACCCUGGUAGUCCACGCUGUAAACGGUGGGUACUAGGUGUGGGGUCCAUUCCACGGGUUCCGUGCCGUAGCUAACGCUUUAAGUACCCCGCCUGGGGAGUACGGCCGCAAGGCUAAAACUCAAAGGAAUUGACGGGGCCCCGCACAAGCGGCGGAGCAUGCGGAUUAAUUCGAUGCAACGCGUAGAACCUUACCUGGGUUUGACAUGGAUCGGGAGUGCUCAGAGAUGGGUGUGCCUCUUUUGGGGUCGGUUCACAGGUGGUGCAUGGCUGUCGUCAGCUCGUGUCGUGAGAUGUUGGGUUAAGUCCCGCAACGAGCGCAACCCUUGUUCACUGUUGCCAGCACGUUAUGGUGGGGACUCAGUGGAGACCGCCGGGGUCAACUCGGAGGAAGGUGGGGAUGACGUCAAGUCAUCAUGCCCCUUAUGUCCAGGGCUUCACGCAUGCUACAAUGGCUGGUACAGAGAGUGGCGAGCCUGUGAGGGUGAGCGAAUCUCGGAAAGCCGGUCUCAGUUCGGAUUGGGGUCUGCAACUCGACCUCAUGAAGUCGGAGUCGCUAGUAAUCGCAGAUCAGCAACGCUGCGGUGAAUACGUUCCCGGG